This 756-nucleotide ribosomal RNA is filed under the name Rhabditida sp. 3082ed. RNAcentral describes it as "eukaryotic LSU rRNA". It matches the Rfam family "Eukaryotic large subunit ribosomal RNA", at positions 375 to 927 of the family's 3401-position model. Lineage: Eukaryota; Metazoa; Nematoda; Chromadorea; Rhabditida. The record is from RNAcentral.
UUUGAGAGAAGUUAAGAGCACGUGAAAUCGGUAAGGUGGAAACGGAUAGAGUUAACGUAUCUGAUUUGUGUUCAGCUGUUAAUUGUUUGUAAUGUAUAAUUUUAAAAGUGUGUUAGUAGUUUACUGCCGUACAUUGCUUUUUAGUUUACAUCUGCAUCAAUUAGCGGUGCAUUUACAAAUCUAUGUGCGCUGGAACAUGUGCGUGGGUUGCUGGAUUCACAAGAAGAUCUUUACAAUUUAUUGUAUUGAGCAAACUUGUUGUUAUAAGGCAAUUCUGCGUGCAUGUCUAAUGAUUUUUUGGGGUAUGGCAUUAGCGAAUGCAUUUUGUGUAUGGUUUUGCAGCGUAUGUCGGUCGCUUGCGACACGUAUAUUGUUUUGCAAAAAAUUUAAUAUACAUUUUGCUUCACUUGCCCGCUUCCAGUGUAAAAGUUAAUUAUCUAUCCGACCCGUCUUGAAACACGGACCAAGGAGUUUAACGUAUACGCGAGUCAUUGGGUGAUAAAACCUAAAGGCGUAAUGAAAGUAAAUUAGUGUUUUUAACACACUAUUAUAUGCGAUCUUAUAUAAUUUAUUUUAAAUAGGCGCAGCAUAGCCCCGUUCAAAUUGCAUGCAAUAGAGCGGAGGUAGAGCGUAUGCGUUGAGACCCGAAAGAUGGUGAACUAUGCCUGAGCAGGACGAAGCCAGAGGAAACUCUGGUGGAAGUCCGAAUCGGUUCUGACGUGCAAAUCGAUCGUCUGACUUGGGUAUAGGGGCGAA